AACGAACGCUGGCGGCAUGCCUAACACAUGCAAGUCGAACGAUCCCUUCGGGGAUAGUGGCGCACGGGUGCGUAACGCGUGGGGACCUGCCCUUAGGUUCGGAAUAACUCAGAGAAAUUUGAGCUAAUACCGGAUAAUGUCUUCGGACCAAAGAUUUAUCGCCUUUGGAUGGGCCCGCGUUGGAUUAGCUAGUUGGUGGGGUAAAGGCCUACCAAGGCGACGAUCCAUAGCUGGUCUGAGAGGAUGAUCAGCCACACUGGGACUGAGACACGGCCCAGACUCCUACGGGAGGCAGCAGUGGGGAAUAUUGGACAAUGGGCGAAAGCCUGAUCCAGCAAUGCCGCGUGAGUGAUGAAGGCCUUAGGGUUGUAAAGCUCUUUUACCCGGGAUGAUAAUGACAGUACCGGGAGAAUAAGCCCCGGCUAACUCCGUG
This 433-nucleotide ribosomal RNA is filed under the name uncultured bacterium. RNAcentral's name for it is "partial 16S ribosomal RNA". It matches the Rfam family "Bacterial small subunit ribosomal RNA", at positions 29 to 507 of the family's 1533-position model. The record is from RNAcentral.